GGGUUGUGAGAGCAAGAGCCCGGAGAUGGAUUCUGAGACAUGAAUCCAGGCCCUACGGGGUGCAGCAGGCGCGAAAACUUUACAAUGCGGGCAACCGCNAUAAGGGGACCUCGAGUGCUGGGUUACAAACCUGGCUGUUGGGCUGCCUAAAAAGCAGUCGUAAUCCUCGAGGGACCACCAGUGGCGAAGGCGUCUCACCAGAACGGAUCCGACGGCAAGGGACGAAAGCUAGGGGCACGAACCGGAUUAGAUACCCGGGUAGUCCUAGCCGUAAACGAUACUCGCUAGGUGUCGGCACGGUNNGACCGUUGUCGGUGCCGUAGGGAAGCCGUGAAGCGAGCCACCUGGGAAGUUAGGUCAGUAUGCCCCGAAUCCCCCGGGCUACACGCGGGCUACAAUGGUCGGUACAAUGGGUAUCGACCCCGAAAGGGGUAGGCAAUCCCCUAAAACCGAUCGUAGUUCGGAUUGAGGGCUGAAACUCGCCCUCAUGAAGCUGGAAUCCGUAGUAAUCGCGUUUCAACAGAACGCGGUGAAUACGU
This 539-nucleotide ribosomal RNA is filed under the name Methanothrix thermoacetophila. RNAcentral describes it as "bacterial SSU rRNA". It matches the Rfam family "Archaeal small subunit ribosomal RNA", at positions 271 to 1327 of the family's 1478-position model. Lineage: Archaea; Methanobacteriati; Methanobacteriota; Methanomicrobia; Methanotrichales; Methanotrichaceae. The record is from RNAcentral.